AUUCCACCUUGAGAAUGCUCAAUCUUGUCUGACCUCAGGCAUUCAGCAGGGUCGUGCCUGGUUAGAACUAGGAUGGGAGAAUGCUGGGAAUACCAGGUG
This 99-nucleotide ribosomal RNA is filed under the name Periophthalmus magnuspinnatus. Lineage: Eukaryota; Metazoa; Chordata; Actinopteri; Gobiiformes; Gobiidae. The record is from RNAcentral.